Molecule: ribosomal RNA, 521 nt
Filed under: Pandacerus flavicostus
Lineage: Eukaryota; Metazoa; Arthropoda; Insecta; Hemiptera; Cicadellidae
Description: partial large subunit ribosomal RNA
Source: RNAcentral
ACAUUUCCUUAAGUUUAUAUAUUUAAGGUAGGUUCUGCCCUAUGAUUAUUUAAAUGGCUGCAGUAUAUUGACUGUGCAAAGGUAGCAUAAUAAUUAGUUUCUUAAUUAGGGACUUGUAUGAAUGAAUUAAUGAGAAAUUUAUUUUAUUUAUUAUAUUUUUAAAAUUUAAUUUUUAAGUUAAAAAGCUUAAUUAUUUUAUUGGGACGAUAAGACCCUAUAGAACUUUAAAUUUAAUUUUUUUUAUUUAAAUUUUGGUUUUUUAUUAUUUAUUAUUUAUUAUUUUUUUUACUGGGGUGGUAAAUAAAUUAAACUUUAUUUUUUCUAUUCAUUUAUUUUAUGAUAAUUUUGAUCCAUAAAUAUUGAUUAAAAGAUUAAGUUACCUUAGGGAUAACAGCGUAAUUUUGAUGGUAAGUUCUUAUUUAUAUUAAAGUUUGCGACCUCGAUGUUGAAUUAAGAUAAAAUUAAGGGGUAGGUUUUUUAAAUAUUAAGUCUGUUCGACUUUUAAAUUCUUACGUGAUCUG